CCUACGGGUGGCAGCAGUGAGGAAUAUUGGUCAAUGGGCGGGAGCCUGAACCAGCCAAGCCGCGUGAGGGAAGAAGGUACAGCGUAUCGUAAACCUCUUUUGUCAGGGAACAAAGGCGGGGACUAGUCCCCUGAUGAGGGUACCUGAAGAAAAAGCAUCGGCAAACUCCGUUCCAUCAGCCGCGGUAAUACGGAGGAUGCGAUGUUUAUCCGGAUUUAUUGGGGUGAAAGGGUGCGCAGGCGGCCUGUUAAGUCAGCGGUAAAAGCCCGGGGCUCAACCCCGGCGAGCCGUUGAAACUGGCGGGCUGGAGUUGGAGAGAGGUGCGCAGAAUGCGAGGUGUAGCGGUGAAAUGCUUAGAGAUCGCGCAGAACCCCGAUUGCGAAGGCAGCGUACCGGCUCCACACUGACGCUGAGGCGCGAAAGCGUGGGUAUCGAACAGGAUUAGAUACCCCAGUAGUC
This 459-nucleotide ribosomal RNA is filed under the name uncultured bacterium. RNAcentral's name for it is "partial 16S ribosomal RNA". It matches the Rfam family "Bacterial small subunit ribosomal RNA", at positions 338 to 795 of the family's 1533-position model. The record is from RNAcentral.